This 253-nucleotide ribosomal RNA is filed under the name uncultured bacterium. Its description in RNAcentral is "partial 16S ribosomal RNA". It matches the Rfam family "Bacterial small subunit ribosomal RNA", at positions 524 to 776 of the family's 1533-position model. The record is from RNAcentral.
UACGUAGGGUGCGAGCGUUGUCCGGAAUUACUGGGCGUAAAGAGCUCGUAGGCGGUUUGUCGCGUUGUUCGUGAAAACUCACAGCUCAACUGUGGGCGUGCGGGCGAUACGGGCAGACUGGAGUACUGCAGGGGAGACUGGAAUUCCUGGUGUAGCGGUGGAAUGCGCAGAUAUCAGGAGGAACACCAAUUGCGAAGGCAGCUCGCUGGAACGUAACUGACGCUGAGACGCGAAAGCGUGGGGAGCAAACAGG